GACAGAGGGUGCAAACGUUGUUCGGAAUUACUGGGCGUAAAGCGCGUGUAGGCGGCCAUCUAAGUCGGGCGUGAAAUCCCACGGCUCAACCCGUGGAAGUGCACUCGAAACUGGAUGGCUAGAGUCCUGGAGAGGAAGGUGGAAUGCUUGGUGUAGAGGUGAAAUUCGUAGAUAUCAAGCGGGACACCGGUGGCGAAGGCGGCCUCUGGACAGUGACUGACGCUGAGACGCGAAAGCGUGGGAGCAACAGG
Molecule: ribosomal RNA, 251 nt
Filed under: uncultured bacterium
Lineage: Bacteria
Description: partial 16S ribosomal RNA
Rfam family: Bacterial small subunit ribosomal RNA
Source: RNAcentral